UUUUGUGGAAUUUUUCUUAUAAAUACGAUGGAAGGUCAAGUUAAUUUCAAAAAUAAUUACAGAAUUUUUUGAAUUUUUUUGAAUUACUAUUUUUUCUCAUAUAGGGUGGAGAUACACCCAGCAACCAAACGUCCGCGUCCGUUAUUAUUAGGGAAACAUUGCGAGCCGGUUGACCGGCCGAAACUCCGCCGGUCACGUCAACGUGCCCACUCACACACCGCUUUAGCUUUCCUUAUCAUGUCCACAUGCGCUUCCCAUCCAUUCAUUUCUCCACCGCUGAGUGCCUGAGUCUCAUCUUAUCCCCUCGCCCAGCUUUCUUUCCCCAGGCUCUCAACUAAAUCUUGCCAUGGCCGCCGGCGACUCGAUCCGCCUCGUGUGGAUCAACGGCGCGGGAUGCACACCCUCUCCAUGGCCGCUCGCAGCCACGGGCGCACUCGUCGCCUUGUCCGCCUCCGCCAGCAGCUGCAUGUGCGCCCUCUCCAUGGCCGCCGCAGCCAGGGUGCGCCAGUCGCCAUGGCCAAGCUGCAACCGGCCACGGCGGCGGCGAGUUCAUGCUGGAACCGAGGGGGUUUGCUGGAACCAGCUGUUACAUGUGCUACAAGGUCCAUGCCUCCCCGGCGGAAGCUACAUCCAGCGGUGAAGAGUGCUGCAUCCAACGCCGUCGAUGUCGGGAGCUGCAACCGUGCAUGUCGGAGCUGCGACCGACUACUAGGGGAGCUGCAAGAGGGGAGGCCAUUUUUUUGCGGAUGCGUUUUCCUUUAGCCGAACCAAUUUCGUUUUUGCUGGAACCGAUGUAUUUUUUUGCUGGAACCGAGAUAUUUUUUUGCUUCAAUGAUUGCAGAGCUCCUAAAUGUUCAUGUCGUUUUUGCUGGAACCUAAGUUUGUUUGUGCUGGAAGCGUUUUUGAUUUUUGCUUCAACCGAACACUGGACUUUGACCCGCGGAGAAGAUUUUUGCUGGAAGAUUUUUGCUGCUUCCGAUUUUUUUUGCUGGGCACUCUGACCCCGGCGAGCGGGAGACGCAGAGAUGCUACAACUAGCCACCCGAGCGCUAUCAUCACAGCAAAUUGUUCUGCUACCACCAUCUUUUUUUAACUGAAAACAACUCCAAUUUUUUGCUUUCACCAUGUUCUGUUUUUGUUGGAUUCAGCUAUAUUUUUGCUUCCACGACGGCGACCGGCGGCCGGCGGCGACGAUGGCGACCGGCGGCCGGCAGCGACAACGGCGACCGGCAGGGAGGGCAGCAACAGGCGAGUGCGUCGGGCAGUGCUUCAAGGCCGGGCGCAUAGCUCAUCCAUGGAGGCGCGAUGGAAUCUUUUUUGUAAAAGAAGACACCUGAUGAAAGAAGAUGAGGGAAUCGUACGGCUACGCGUUAUUUUAUCGGACGAUGCUGGUACGACCGGCCCAAAGUUGGGCUGGCGCGCCGGCGCCUAGUAGUGCCCGGGUCCCAAAUAAACGGGUUGAGAAAAGAACGUUUGAGUUCAGGUCCCCAAUGAUGAUAUAAAACCGGA
This is a long non-coding RNA of Aegilops tauschii subsp. strangulata, 1509 nucleotides long. RefSeq lists it as uncharacterized. NCBI's taxonomy places the organism in Eukaryota, Viridiplantae, Streptophyta, Magnoliopsida, Poales, Poaceae. The record is from RefSeq and is a predicted model, not a curated record.